This 31-nucleotide non-coding RNA is filed under the name Homo sapiens (human). The record is from RNAcentral. Lineage: Eukaryota; Metazoa; Chordata; Mammalia; Primates; Hominidae.
UCCCUAUAAGCGCUGUGUCAUGAUCUUCUGC